This 464-nucleotide ribosomal RNA is filed under the name marine sediment bacterium ISA-7262. RNAcentral's name for it is "bacterial SSU rRNA". It matches the Rfam family "Bacterial small subunit ribosomal RNA", at positions 49 to 476 of the family's 1533-position model. The record is from RNAcentral.
UAAUACAUGGCAAGUUCGAGCGCAGGAAACUGACGGCAACUCUUCGGAGGGAAGUGCAGCGGAAUGGAGCGGCGGGACGGGUGCAGUAACACGGUAAGGAACCUGCCUCAAGGAUUGGGAUAACUCCUAGCAAAUCGGAGCUAAUACCGGAUAGUUCAUCGGACCGCAGGGUCCGUUGAUGAAAGGCGCUCCGGCGUCACCUUGAGAUGGCCUUGCGGUGCAUUACCUAGUUGGUGGGGUAACGGCCCACCAGGGCGACGAUGCAUAGCCGACCUGAGAGGGUGAUCGGCCACACUGGACUGAGACACGGCCCAGACUCCUACGGGAGGCAGCAGUAGGGAAUCUUCCACAAUGGACGAAAGUCUGAUGGAGCAACGCCGCGUGAGUGAUGAAGGUUUUCGGAUCGUAAAACUCUGUUGUAAGGGAAGAACACGUACGAGAGGAAAUGCUCGUACCUUGACGGU